CAAUCAAACCGGGAGAUAGCUGGUUCUCCCCGAAAGCUAUUUAGGUAGCGCCUCGUGAAUUCAUCUCCGGGGGUAGAGCACUGUUUCGGCUAGGGGGCCAUCCCGGCUUACCAACCCGAUGCAAACUGCGAAUACCGGAGAAUGUUAUCACGGGAGACACACGGCGGGUGCUAACGUCCGUCGUGAAGAGGGAAACAACCCAGACCGCCAGCUAAGGUCCCAAAGUCAUGGUUAAGUGGGAAACGAUGUGGGAAGGCCCAGACAGCCAGGAUGUUGGCUUAGAAGCAGCCAUCAUUUAAAGAAAGCGUAAUAGCUCACUGGUCGAGUCGGCCUGCGCGGAAGAUGUAACGGGGCUAAACCAUGCACCGAAGCUGCGGCAGCGACACUCAGGUGUCGUUGGGUAGGGGAGCGUUCUGUAAGCCUGCGAAGGUGGCCUGUGAGGGUUGCUGGAGGUAUCAGAAGUGCGAAUGCUGACAUAAGUAACGAUAAAGCGGGUGAAAAGCCCGCUCGCCGGAAGACCAAGGGUUCCUGUCCAACGUUAAUCGGGGCAGGGUGAGUCGACCCCUAAGGCGAGGCCGAAAGGCGUAGUCGAUGGGAAACGGGUUAAUAUUCCCGUACUUGGUGUUACUGCGAAGGGGGGACGGAGAAGGCUAUGUUGGCCGGGCGACGGUUGUCCCGGUUUAAGCGUGUAGGUGUGUGUUCCAGGUAAAUCCGGUUCACUUUAACACUGAGGCGUGACGACGAGGCACUACGGUGCUGAAGCAACAAAUGCCCUGCUUCCAGGAAAAGCCUCUAAGCAUCAGGUAACAUCAAAUCGUACCCCAAACCGACACAGGUGGUCAGGUAGAGAAUACCAAGGCGCUUGAGAGAACUCGGGUGAAGGAACUAGGCAAAAUGGUGCCGUAACU
This 908-nucleotide ribosomal RNA is filed under the name Salmonella enterica subsp. enterica. RNAcentral describes it as "partial 23S ribosomal RNA". It matches the Rfam family "Bacterial large subunit ribosomal RNA", at positions 830 to 1735 of the family's 2925-position model. Lineage: Bacteria; Pseudomonadati; Pseudomonadota; Gammaproteobacteria; Enterobacterales; Enterobacteriaceae. The record is from RNAcentral.